Molecule: ribosomal RNA, 445 nt
Filed under: uncultured bacterium
Lineage: Bacteria
Description: partial 16S ribosomal RNA
Rfam family: Bacterial small subunit ribosomal RNA
Source: RNAcentral
CCUACGGGUGGCAGCAGUGGGGAAUAUUGGGCAAUGGAGGCAACUCUUACCCAGCAAUGCCGCGUGAAUGAAGAAGGUCUUCGGAUUGUAAAGUUCUUUAAUUGGGGACGAAAAAAAUGACGGUACCCAAGGAAUAAGCCCCGGCUAACUACGUGCCAGCAGCCGCGGUAAUACGUAGGAUCCGAGCAUUAUCCGGAGUGACUGGGUGUAAAGAGUUGCGUAGGUGGCAUAAUAAGUAGCUAGUGAAAUCUGGUGGCUCAACCAUUCAGACUAUUAGCUAAACUGUUAAGCUCGAGACCGUUAGGGGUAACUGGAAUUUCUAGUGUAGGAGUGAAAUCCGUAGAUAUUAGAAGGAACACCAAUAGCGUAGGCAGGUUACUGGGACGGUUCUGACACUAAGGCACGAAAGCGUAGGGAGCAAACGGGAUUAGAUACCCCAGUAGUC